AUACCUGCACUGAAGCAACAGUCAUCUUUAAGCCAAAUAGGCGGAGAGAAAUGACUUCUUCAAAGUAUUCAGACAGGGUCUCACUCCGUCACCCAGGCUGGAGUACAGUGGCACAAUCUCGGUUCUCUGCAACCUCCAUCGCCCAGGCUCAAGUGAUCCCCCCACCUCAACCUCCCAAGUAGCUGGGAUUACAAGCCUGCACCUCUAUGCCCAGCUAAUUUUUGUGUUUUUAGUAGAGACAAGGUUUUGCCAUGUUGGCCAGGCUGGUCUCGAACUCCUGACCUCAGGUGAUCCAAAAGCCUUGGCCUCCCCAAGUGCUGGGAUUACAGGCUUGAGCCACCACACCUGGCCAAUUAUUUUAUUAAGCCAGAUGAAUCUAGCUCUGGACAGUUAUAAGCAAAGAAAAACUAACGGAAAAAUACAGAGGCCUGAAGAAUCACAGAGGGAAACUCAUUUGUUCCUCUGGCAGCUCUCCCCAAGGACACCUGUGAGACAAAGUCAGAAGUGGCUUCCCUGGUGACCCAGAGAGACCACAGGGCUCUUGCCGCUGCUUCCUCUACUCCCGUAUUUUGCCGAGCUCUCUAAAUUGUCUCAGCUCUAGCCUGAAUCUAUGGUUUCAUGGAGAGCUCCCUAAAAUCUGUUGACAGAGGAAGAGAAGACUUGAACCUGGUUUACAGAUGGUACUGCACAAUAUGCAGGAACCACAUGAAAGCAGGCAGUUGAAGCACUGCAGCCUCUCUCUGGGACAUCUCCUAAGAAAAAUGAGGGAGCAUCCUCCCAUCCUCCAGAUUUCUGACCUUGGAUAAGUAGAGAAUGUCACUUGCUGACAGGUCCAGGAACCCUAAGUUAUUUGGGAAACUCAAGUGAGGAAUUUUACCCAAUUUAUACCAAUAUCUGCAGUCACAGAUAAGUCCUUGUCUGGGCUUGAGGUUUUAAGAUGUCUAAUCUGAGAUUCCUUAUGACAAAAUAUGUUGUAGCAAAGCCAAUUUAAAAAGGAGCCUAUAUGGCAAAUAAUUAUUCUUACUUCACUUUAUGCAUGUAAUCAGGCC
RNAcentral lists this long non-coding RNA (1049 nucleotides) under Homo sapiens (human). Its description in RNAcentral is "HSALNT0408179". Lineage: Eukaryota; Metazoa; Chordata; Mammalia; Primates; Hominidae. The record is from RNAcentral.